RNAcentral lists this long non-coding RNA (533 nucleotides) under Sorghum bicolor (sorghum). RNAcentral describes it as "long non-coding RNA (SBIC_LNC003461)". The record is from RNAcentral. Lineage: Eukaryota; Viridiplantae; Streptophyta; Magnoliopsida; Poales; Poaceae.
UAAGCAGGUCAGGACAAGAAGAAGACUACGCAACCACAACCAGAGGAGGCAAAUCAUCAAGGACGGAUGGGCAGACUACGAAGGAGAAGUGGUAAGGUCUGAAGACAUACAGCUUGAACAGAACUUUCCUGAGGAGACCGUAGCACCGAGUCAGGUGUGGAGAGAGAAGAUAGUUAUACACGAAGAGGAGGCGCACGCCGGAACCACCGACUACGCCAUCCAGCGAAUCCUAGGACGACUGAGAAUACGGAGAGUCCCGUUCGGAGGACUUAAAAACACCGAACGGCUUGCCAAGAGGUAAACUUGGUAGUUAUCUUUUUUCCUUUCAAUUAUUUAAAAUAGUUUUCUUAGUUAAUCAGGUUCAUAUCAUCUCAAAAAGAAAAUAAAAAUGUUAAAAAUAGUAAGCCCCAUGUGACUAUGCUCAUGGCAUAAAACCCAUAAGUACAUCCACUGUGGUGGCGUAAAAAUAAAAUAAAUAUAUUCCUGUCCUAUAAAAAUGAACAUAUAAAAAUAAGAUUGUGAUCCUACUAAAG